Molecule: ribosomal RNA, 161 nt
Filed under: uncultured bacterium
Lineage: Bacteria
Description: partial 16S ribosomal RNA
Source: RNAcentral
CUGCUGCCUCCCGUAGGAGUUUGGGCCGUGUCUCAGUCCCAAUGUGGCCGUCCACCCUCUCAGGCCGGCUACUGAUCGUCGCCUUGGUGGGCCGUUACCCCGCCAACAAGCUAAUCAGACGCGGGUCCAUCUUACACCACCGGAGUUUUUCACACAAAUCC